Molecule: ribosomal RNA, 557 nt
Filed under: uncultured bacterium
Lineage: Bacteria
Description: bacterial SSU rRNA
Rfam family: Bacterial small subunit ribosomal RNA
Source: RNAcentral
AACGCGUGGGAAUCUGCCCUUGGGUACGGAAUAACUCAGAGAAAUUUGUGCUAAUACCGUAUAAUGUCUUCGGACCAAAGAUUUAUCGCCCAAGGAUGAGCCCGCGUAAGAUUAGCUAGUUGGUGAGGUAAAAGCUCACCAAGGCGACGAUCUUUAGCUGGUCUGAGAGGAUGAUCAGCCACACUGGGACUGAGACACGGCCCAGACUCCUACGGGAGGCAGCAGUGGGGAAUAUUGGACAAUGGGCGAAAGCCUGAUCCAGCAAUGCCGCGUGAGUGAUGAAGGCCUUAGGGUUGUAAAGCUCUUUUACCCGGGAUGAUAAUGACAGUACCGGGAGAAUAAGCUCCGGCUAACUCCGUGCCAGCAGCCGCGGUAAUACGGAGGGAGCUAGCGUUGUUCGGAAUUACUGGGCGUAAAGCGCGCGUAGGCGGUUUUUUAAGUCAGAGGUGAAAGCCCAGUGCUCAACACUGGAACUGCCUUUGAAACUGGAAAACUUGAAUCUUGGAGAGGUCAGUGGAAUUCCGAGUGUAGAGGUGAAAUUCGUAGAUAUUCGGAAG